GACCGCGUAGCUCAGUUGGCAGAGCAUUGGGCUAGUAUUCCAAAGGUCGUAGGUUCGUUUCCCACCGUGGUCA
Molecule: transfer RNA, 73 nt
Filed under: Paramuricea clavata
Lineage: Eukaryota; Metazoa; Cnidaria; Anthozoa; Malacalcyonacea; Plexauridae
Rfam family: tRNA
About the family: Transfer RNA (tRNA) molecules are approximately 80 nucleotides in length. Their secondary structure includes four short double-helical elements and three loops (D, anti-codon, and T loops).
Source: Rfam by way of RNAcentral